Molecule: transfer RNA, 71 nt
Filed under: Myxococcales bacterium
Lineage: Bacteria; Pseudomonadati; Myxococcota; Myxococcia; Myxococcales
Description: tRNA-Gln
Rfam family: tRNA
About the family: Transfer RNA (tRNA) molecules are approximately 80 nucleotides in length.
Source: RNAcentral
UCCGGGAUCGUUCAAUGGCAGGACAGAGGACUUUGAAUCCUCGAAUCGUGGUUCGAAUCCACGUCCCGGAG